CCCUUAGAUGUUCUGGGCGGCCCGCGCACUACAUUGGCACUGGCAACAAGAUCCUAGAUCUGGUAUUUCGGGGUAUUCUACCAACUGGUGUCGUGACUGGGAUUAACCCCUGCAAUUAUUGGUUAUGAACGAGGAAUUCCUUGUAAUCACGGUUUAUCAACCCGUGUUGAAUGCGUCCCUGCCCUUUGUACACACCGCCCGUCGCUCCUACCGAUGAAUCGUCCGGUGAAGUUCAUGGAGUCGCGGCUGCUCCAGCUGUUUUCGAAGUGAAAUGGACCUCAUGAUUUAGGGGAAGGAGAAGUCGUAACA
RNAcentral lists this ribosomal RNA (309 nucleotides) under uncultured eukaryote. RNAcentral's name for it is "partial 18S ribosomal RNA". It matches the Rfam family "Eukaryotic small subunit ribosomal RNA", at positions 1470 to 1796 of the family's 1831-position model. The record is from RNAcentral.